RNAcentral lists this ribosomal RNA (330 nucleotides) under Yersinia rohdei. RNAcentral describes it as "bacterial SSU rRNA". It matches the Rfam family "Bacterial small subunit ribosomal RNA", at positions 67 to 392 of the family's 1533-position model. Lineage: Bacteria; Pseudomonadati; Pseudomonadota; Gammaproteobacteria; Enterobacterales; Yersiniaceae. The record is from RNAcentral.
CGGCAGCGGGAAGUAGUUUACUACUUUGCCGGCGAGCGGCGGACGGGUGAGUAAUGUCUGGGAAACUGCCUGAUGGAGGGGGAUAACUACUGGAAACGGUAGCUAAUACCGCAUGACCUCGCAAGAGCAAAGUGGGGGACCUUCGGGCCUCACGCCAUCGGAUGUGCCCAGAUGGGAUUAGCUAGUAGGUGGGGUAAUGGCUCACCUAGGCGACGAUCCCUAGCUGGUCUGAGAGGAUGACCAGCCACACUGGAACUGAGACACGGUCCAGACUCCUACGGGAGGCAGCAGUGGGGAAUAUUGCACAAUGGGCGCAAGCCUGAUGCAGCC